This 253-nucleotide ribosomal RNA is filed under the name uncultured bacterium. RNAcentral's name for it is "partial 16S ribosomal RNA". It matches the Rfam family "Bacterial small subunit ribosomal RNA", at positions 524 to 776 of the family's 1533-position model. The record is from RNAcentral.
GACGAAGGGGGCUAGCGUUGUUCGGAAUUACUGGGCGUAAAGCGCGUGUAGGCGGUUGUCCAAGUUGGAUGUGAAAGCCUUGAGCUUAACUCAAGAAAUGCAUUCAGGACUGGAUGACUAGAGGACCGGAGAGGAUAGUGGAAUUCCCAGUGUAGUGGUGAAAUACGUAGAGAUUGGUAAGAACACCAGUGGCGAAGGCGGCUAUCUGGACGGUUUCUGACGCUAAGACGCGAAAGCGUGGGGAGCAAACAGG